UUUAAUUGAAGAGUUUGAUCAUGGCUCAGAUUGAACGCUGGCGGCAGGCCUAACACAUGCAAGUCGAGCGGCAGCACAGGGGAACUUGUUCCUUGGGUGGCGAGC
This 105-nucleotide ribosomal RNA is filed under the name Vibrio cholerae. Its description in RNAcentral is "partial 16S ribosomal RNA". It matches the Rfam family "Bacterial small subunit ribosomal RNA", at positions 1 to 103 of the family's 1533-position model. The record is from RNAcentral. Lineage: Bacteria; Pseudomonadati; Pseudomonadota; Gammaproteobacteria; Vibrionales; Vibrionaceae.